Molecule: ribosomal RNA, 429 nt
Filed under: Chloroflexota bacterium
Lineage: Bacteria; Bacillati; Chloroflexota
Description: Chloroflexi bacterium partial 16S ribosomal RNA
Rfam family: Bacterial small subunit ribosomal RNA
Source: RNAcentral
UGGGGAAUAUUGCACAAUGGGCGCAAGCCUGAUGCAGCCAUGCCGCGUGUAUGAAGAAGGCCUUCGGGUUGUAAAGUACUUUCAGCGGGGAGGAAGGGAGUAAAGUUAAUACCUUUGCUCAUUGACGUUACCCGCAGAAGAAGCACCGGCUAACUCCGUGCCAGCAGCCGCGGUAAUACGGAGGGUGCAAGCGUUAAUCGGAAUUACUGGGCGUAAAGCGCACGCAGGCGGUUUGUUAAGUCAGAUGUGAAAUCCCCGGGCUCAACCUGGGAACUGCAUCUGAGACUGGCAAGCUUGAGUCUCGUAGAGGGGGGUAGGAUUCCAGGUGUAGCGGUGAGAUGCGUAGAGAUCUGGAGGAAUACCGGUGGCGAAGGCGGCCCCCUGGACGAAGGCUGACGCUCAGGUGCGAAAGCGUGGGGAGCAAACAGG